GUUUUUAUAAUUUAAAUAAAAUAGUGAUCUUGUAAAUCAAAAUUGAGAUACCUCUAAAAACU
RNAcentral lists this transfer RNA (62 nucleotides) under Pseudotibiozus cerasopus. RNAcentral's name for it is "tRNA-Thr". The record is from RNAcentral. Lineage: Eukaryota; Metazoa; Arthropoda; Diplopoda; Spirostreptida; Spirostreptidae.